RNAcentral lists this long non-coding RNA (944 nucleotides) under Panax ginseng (ginseng). RNAcentral describes it as "long non-coding RNA (PGIN_LNC000786)". The record is from RNAcentral. Lineage: Eukaryota; Viridiplantae; Streptophyta; Magnoliopsida; Apiales; Araliaceae.
CCAAAAAAAAAUAGAACUUAGCCAUUCAACACAAAUCGUUUGAAUGACUGACUGUUCAGACUAUUUUUAUUUGAAACAAACGUACUGAAUGGCUAAAUCGGUUAGUCAUUCAGUGUCAAUCAAACAGUUCCUUAAGUAUGCCAUAUAAAAAGGGAAACAUUAUUUUCACAUCUAUUUUUGAUAUUUUCACAUGAUUCCUUCUCACAUGAAGAUGAGACCUACUGUAUGCCAGAUGAACAUGUGAAAACAUAUAAAAAUAUCAGUUACCUAUAGAAACUAAAGACAUCAAAAAGUGAAAAUAAUAACUUUUUUAUUUUUAUUUUCUACUGAUGAGUCGGUCACAAACUCGUAUUGAUUAGAAAAGAAAAUUACAAGAAGUCAUCGAAGAUGGCAUCAUAAAUUAAAUUGAAUUUCUCCUCCAAAAUUCAAAAUUUAUUUCUCUCUUCCUUCUCCUUCCAUCUACUUUCUUCCUCUCCAAUUCUCUAAUCCCUUCCCCUUUCUUCUCUAAAUUCUUCCUUAACAAAAUGACAAUUGGUUGGAAUCUUUUACGACUUACAAAUAUAUAAUUAUCAAGAUUUAAGUUUAAUCAGCUGAGCAUCAAACCAGCUAUCAGUAUUAACAUUAGAGAGAGAGAGAGGGAACUACCAAUCAUAUCAGAGCUUUUACCUACGUAAACAUUACAGAGGAACUACAAACCAUUGAAUUUUUAUUGUUGGUUUCAAACUGACAACUAAAUGCUAUACAAGUGAACAUUGAAAACAAGGUUGCAAACUCAAUAUCUAACUGACAGAAAUGCCCUCGUAGCAAACUCAAUUCCAAACAAAACAAAAACUUUAAAAUGCAGAUAGAUAAAUAAAAGAAUUUUCAAGCAACAAAUUAAAACAUCUCAAACAGUAUUAUGCACUAACCAACUAUAAUUUAAAUUUAAUAAAAUUGAGUUGGAG